AAAGACGCGGAGCCAAUAACACAUCUGAGGGACUACCUCUCAACUACAUCCUCCAAGGCAAUAAAAGUGUUGGCAAAGAUAGAGAGCCUAGAGUCUCUCCGAAGGUUGGAAGAGAUUGUUGAGGCUUCCGAUGGGAUUAUGAUAGCAAGGGGAGAUCUAGGAGUUGAGAUUCCACUUGAACAGAUUCCAUCUGUUCAGAAAGAUAUUACUUAUGUUUGCAGGCAGCUCAACAAGCCCGUUAUCGUGGCCUCUCAACUUCUAGAGUCAAUGGUCGAAUACCCCACUCCAACUAGAGCAGAGGUUGCAGAUGUUUCUGAAGUGGUACGACAGUAUGCUGA
RNAcentral lists this unclassified non-coding RNA (338 nucleotides) under Hevea brasiliensis (rubber tree). Lineage: Eukaryota; Viridiplantae; Streptophyta; Magnoliopsida; Malpighiales; Euphorbiaceae. The record is from RNAcentral.